GUCCUAGCCGUAACGGUGCACGUUUGCUGUAAAGGAAUCGACCCCUUUGUGGCGAAGCUAACGCGUUAAACGUGCCGCCUGGGAAGUACGGUCGCAAGAUUAAACUCAAAGAAUUGACGGGGCCUGCACAAGCGGUGGAGUAUGUGGCUUAAUUCGAUGCAACGCGAAGAACCUUACCUGGCCUUGACAUGUAUCUAGUAGAAGGGUGAAGCCUGACGAGGUAGCAAUACCAGGAUACACAGGUGCUGCAUGGCUGUCGU
RNAcentral lists this ribosomal RNA (260 nucleotides) under uncultured bacterium. Its description in RNAcentral is "partial 16S ribosomal RNA". It matches the Rfam family "Bacterial small subunit ribosomal RNA", at positions 793 to 1055 of the family's 1533-position model. The record is from RNAcentral.